CUACUCCCCCUCACUCCCCACAUCCUAAUCUCCCACCACUUCCCCCACACACUCCCCUCUUCCGCCAUGGUCAUGGACAAGUCCAACCUCCCACAGCCGCCGCCGCCUCCUCCCUCCUCCGCCUCCUCGCUCAAGUCCCUCAACAAGGCCUCCUACAAGAUCUCCAAGCAGUCGUCCUCCGCCUCUUCCGCUCCCUCUCCCGCUCCCCCUUCCACCAUGAGAGCGCCUUCCCCGCCGCCGCCGGCUCCCCGCCCACCCGCACCACUUCCGCCGCCGCAGGCCUCCUCCGUCCCUGCCGACCACCCGCCUCCCCAGCCCCCGGUGUACAACAUCGACAAGUCGGACUUCCGCGACGUCGUCCAGAAGCUCACCGGCUCGCCGUCCCACCUCCUGCCGCCCCAGCCCGCGGCCGCCCCCGCCCCCGCCCCCGUCAUGGCGCCACCCCCGCCUCCCCUCAUGGCGCGUCCUCCUCCGCUGCCUCACACCAUGGCGCCCCCGCCUCCGCCGCCGACGGCGAUACCCUCCCGCCUCCACCGCAUCCGCCCGCCGCCUCUGGCCCCGCCGCGCCCGCCGCCCAUCCUCCAGCCGGCCCCGCCGGCGCUCUCCCCGCUCCCGCCGCUCCCGGCCGUCUGCAUGACCGCGGAGUCGCCCAUCUCCGCCUACAUGCGCCGCCUCCGCGGGAUGCCGUCGCCGAUCCACGUGCCCACGUCGCCGCUCGGCUUCGGCUGCCUGCCCUCGCCGCGGACGCCGCCGUCGCCCGGCGUGCCCAUGCCGGCCACCAGUCCACGCGUCCGCGACCCGUGACGCGGGAACCCACCACCACUGCUGCGCCGCCGCCAGCGCCGAUGUGUAGAUACGGCUGGUGUAGGAGAGAGAGAUCCGGCGACCAAAGGCGGAAGCAGCGAGACCUUCACAUUCUGUUAGCUCCAUCUCUCUCUCUCUCUCUCUCUCUCUCUCUCUCUCUCUCUCUCUCUCUCUCUCUCUCUCUCUCUCUCUUCAAAAUCAAAAUCUUUAGCUAUAAAAAUUCUUUCUUUUUUUUCCUCCUAGCGUGCUCCACCUGCCUUGAUAUUUUGUUGGUGUAUAUGGGACAUGCGGCGCUUGGUUGGCAACCAAUAUGGAUUGCUCAUGUUUGCCUAAUUUUUUUUGUAACAACGCUUAGUAUGCAAGAUCAUAUCCGAGAUUUCUUUAGGAUAGUAGCAUAACAGUAGCAGUUUAUCUAGUCUUGCUUGUUGUGUCUACACUUGCAGUAAACUCAUCUGGACUACAUUGUUCUUUGCUUCUGGCUUUGUGAGGUCAAAAGGACUGGGGUGGGACUAGUCCGAUCUGGUAUCCUGGUAUUUGUUCCGUGCUUGCUAUUUGGAUCCUUGUUCAUGAAUCAUGAUAGGUUCUGCUCGGUAGACAAUUGCAAUUCAGCUUUGGUUUCUGGUAUGACAUGGACCUCGUUUGUUUUGUGGUGCAUGGUGGCUCAUCUAAUUAUGGUCACAUGAACUACAAAGCAUGUUUGGUGACACAUCGCCGUUGCGCUCCCCCCUUCUCUUGUUAAUCAUCAGGAGCUGUACUGCAGUAGCAUGAGGAUUGUAGUAGCAGUUUUUGUGCUGUGG
Molecule: unclassified non-coding RNA, 1601 nt
Filed under: Zea mays
Lineage: Eukaryota; Viridiplantae; Streptophyta; Magnoliopsida; Poales; Poaceae
Description: misc RNA Zm00001eb006820
Source: RNAcentral